UACGUAGGUGGCAAGCGUUAUCCGGAUUUAUUGGGCGUAAAGAGAACGCAGGCGGUCUUUUAAGUCUGAAGUGAAAGCCUUCGGCUUAACCGGAGUAGUGCAUUGGAAACUGGGAGACUUGAGUGCAGAAGAGGAGAGUGGAACUCCAUGUGUAGCGGUGAAAUGCGUAGAUAUAUGGAAGAACACCAGUGGCGAAAGCGGCUCUCUGGUCUGUAACUGACGCUGAGGUUCGAAAGCGUGGGUAGCAAACAGG
Molecule: ribosomal RNA, 253 nt
Filed under: uncultured bacterium
Lineage: Bacteria
Description: partial 16S ribosomal RNA
Rfam family: Bacterial small subunit ribosomal RNA
Source: RNAcentral